UACGUAGGUGGCGAGCGUUGUCCGGAUUUACUGGGCGUAAAGGGAGCGUAGGCGGACUUUUAAGUGAGAUGUGAAAUACACGGGCUCAACUUGGGUGCUGCAUUUCAAACUGGAAGUCUAGAGUGCAGGAGAGGAGAAUGGAAUUCCUAGUGUAGCGGUGAAAUGCGUAGAGAUUAGGAAGAACACCAGUGGCGAAGGCGAUUCUCUGGACUGUAACUGACGCUGAGGCUCGAAAGCGUGGGGAGCAAACAGGAUUAGAUA
RNAcentral lists this ribosomal RNA (261 nucleotides) under uncultured prokaryote. RNAcentral's name for it is "partial 16S ribosomal RNA". It matches the Rfam family "Bacterial small subunit ribosomal RNA", at positions 524 to 784 of the family's 1533-position model. The record is from RNAcentral.